UUGGUUAAGUUAGAAAGGGCGCACGGUGGAUGCCUUGGCACUAGGAGCCGAAGAAGGACGGGACUAACACCGAUAUGCUUUGGGGAGCUGUACGUAAGCGUUGAUCCAGAGAUUUCCGAAUGGGGGAACCCACUAUCUUUAGUCGGAUAGUAUCCUUACGUGAAUACAUAGCGUGAGGAAGGCAGACCCAGGGAACUGAAACAUCUAAGUACCUGGAGGAAGAGAAAGAAAAAUCGAUUUCCUGAGUAGCGGCGAGCGAAACGGAAAGAGCCCAAACCAAGAAGCUUGCUUCUUGGGGUUGUAGGACACUCUAUACGGAGUUACAAAAGAAAGUUAUAAAUGAAGCGGUCUGGAAAGGCCCGCCAAAGACGGUAACAGCCCGGUAGUUGAAAUGGCUUUCCCUCCAGAGUGGAUCCUGAGUACGGCGGAACACGUGAAAUUCCGUCGGAAUCCGGGAGGACCAUCUCCCAAGGCUAAAUACUCCCUAGUGACCGAUAGUGAACCAGUACCGUGAGGGAAAGGUGAAAAGCACCCCGGAAGGGGAGUGAAACAGUUCCUGAAACCGUGUGCCUACAAGUAGUUAGAGCCCGUUAAUGGGUGAUAGCGUGCCUUUUGUAGAAUGAACCGGCGAGUUACGAUUUGUUGCAAGGUUAAGCGGAAAAAGCGGAGCCGUAGCGAAAGCGAGUCUGAAUAGGGCGCAUAAGUAACAGGUCGUAGACCCGAAACCAGGUGAUCUACCCAUGUCCAGGAUGAAGGUAAGGUAAUACUUACUGGAGGUCCGAACCCACGCACGUUGAAAAGUGCGGGGAUGAGGUGUGGGUAGCGGAGAAAUUCCAAUCGAACUUGGAGAUAGCUGGUUCUCUCCGAAAUAGCUUUAGGGCUAGCCUCGAGGUAAAGAGUCAUGGAGGUAGAGCACUGUUUGGACUAGGGGCCCUUCUCGGGUUACCGAAUUCAGAUAAACUCCGAAUGCCAUGUACUUAUACUCGGGAGUCAGACUGCGAGUGAUAAGAUCCGUAGUCGAAAGGGAAACAGCCCAGACCACCAGUUAAGGUCCCCAAAUAUAUGUUAAGUGGAAAAGGAUGUGGGGUUGCUUAGACAACCAGGAUGUUGGCUUAGAAGCAGCCACCAUUGAAAGAGUGCGUAAUAGCUCACUGGUCGAGUGACCCCGCGCCGAAAAUGUACCGGGGCUAAACAUAUUACCGAAACUGUGGAUGAACCUCUUUAGAGGUUCGUGGUAGGAGAGCGUUCUAAGGGCGGUGAAGUCAGACCGGAAGGACUGGUGGAGCGCUUAGAAGUGAGAAUGCCGGUAUGAGUAGCGAAAGAAGGGUGAGAAUCCCUUCCACCGAAUAUCUAAGGUUUCCUGAGGAAGGCUCGUCCGCUCAGGGUUAGUCGGGACCUAAGCCGAGGCCGAUAGGCGUAGGCGAUGGACAACAGGUAGAGAUUCCUGUACCAGUGCUAAUUGUUUAACCGAUGGGGUGACACAGAAGGAUAGGGAAUCGCACGAAUGGAAAUGUGCGUCCAAGCAGUGAGUGUGAGAAGUAGGCAAAUCCGCUUCUCGCGAAGCAUGAGCUGUGAUGGGGAAGGAAAUUAAGUACGGAAGUUCCUGAUUUCACGCUGUCAAGAAAAGCCUCUAGGAAGAGUAGUACUGCCCGUACCGCAAACCGACACAGG
Molecule: ribosomal RNA, 1671 nt
Filed under: Listeria monocytogenes
Lineage: Bacteria; Bacillati; Bacillota; Bacilli; Caryophanales; Listeriaceae
Description: partial 23S ribosomal RNA
Rfam family: Bacterial large subunit ribosomal RNA
Source: RNAcentral